This 253-nucleotide ribosomal RNA is filed under the name uncultured bacterium. Its description in RNAcentral is "partial 16S ribosomal RNA". It matches the Rfam family "Bacterial small subunit ribosomal RNA", at positions 524 to 776 of the family's 1533-position model. The record is from RNAcentral.
UACAGAGGUCUCGAGCGUUGUUCGGAUUCAUUGGGCGUAAAGGGUGCGCAGGUGGCGCUGUAAGUCGGGUGUGAAAUCCUGAGGCUUAACCUCGGAACUGCAUUCGAUACUGCGGUGCUUGAGGACUGGAGAGGAGACUGGAAUUCAUGGUGUAGCAGUGAAAUGCGUAGAGAUCAUGAGGAAGACCAGUGGCGAAGGCGGGUCUCUGGACAGUUCCUGACGCUGAGGCACGAAGGCCAGGGGAGCAAACGGG